CAUAUACAACAACAACAACAAACCCAGUGUAUACCUACAUAGUGAGGACUGGGGAGGGUAAAAUGUACGCAGUCCAUACCUCUAGCUCUAAAGAAGUAGAAAGGUUAUUUUCGAUAGACCCCCGGCUCGAGACACGGAAUACUGAACAAAUUCAUAGUAAAUCAUGGAACAAGAUGGCAUAACAUAAAUACGACACCCACAAGUAAUAGGAAAUAGAGAA
Molecule: long non-coding RNA, 220 nt
Filed under: Capsicum annuum
Lineage: Eukaryota; Viridiplantae; Streptophyta; Magnoliopsida; Solanales; Solanaceae
Description: long non-coding RNA (CANN_LNC019255)
Source: RNAcentral